RNAcentral lists this ribosomal RNA (407 nucleotides) under Shewanella sp. 1831. RNAcentral describes it as "bacterial SSU rRNA". It matches the Rfam family "Bacterial small subunit ribosomal RNA", at positions 68 to 476 of the family's 1533-position model. The record is from RNAcentral. Lineage: Bacteria; Pseudomonadati; Pseudomonadota; Gammaproteobacteria; Alteromonadales; Shewanellaceae.
AACACAAGGGAGCUUGCUCCUGAGGUGACGAGCGGCGGACGGGUGAGUAAUGCCUAGGUAUCUGCCCAGUCGAGGGGGAUAACAGUUGGAAACGACUGCUAAUACCGCAUACGCCCUACGGGGGAAAGGAGGGGACCUUCGGGCCUUCCGCGAUUGGAUGAACCUAGGUGGGAUUAGCUAGUUGGUGGGGUAAUGGCUCACCAAGGCGACGAUCCCUAGCUGGUCUGAGAGGAUGAUCAGCCACACUGGAACUGAGACACGGUCCAGACUCCUACGGGAGGCAGCAGUGGGGAAUAUUGCACAAUGGGCGAAAGCCUGAUGCAGCCAUGCCGCGUGUGUGAAGAAGGCCUUCGGGUUGUAAAGCACUUUCAGCGAGGAGGAAAGCUCAAGCGUUAAUAGCGUUUGGG